RNAcentral lists this ribosomal RNA (301 nucleotides) under uncultured bacterium. RNAcentral describes it as "partial 16S ribosomal RNA". It matches the Rfam family "Bacterial small subunit ribosomal RNA", at positions 512 to 808 of the family's 1533-position model. The record is from RNAcentral.
CAGUCCCGCGGGAAUACGGAGGGUGCAAGCGUUAAUCGGAAUUACUGGGCGUAAAGCGCACGCAGGCGGUUUGUUAAGUCAGAUGUGAAAUCCCCGAGCUUAACUUGGGAACUGCAUUUGAAACUGGCAAGCUAGAGUCUUGUAGAGGGGGGUAGAAUUCCAGGUGUAGCGGUGAAAUGCGUAGAGAUCUGGAGGAAUACCGGUGGCGAAGGCGGCCCCCUGGACAAAGACUGACGCUCAGGUGCGAAAGCGUGGGGAGCAAACAGGAUUAGAUACCCCUGUAGUCCCUGUCUCUUAUACA